GACGAACGCUGGCGGCGUGCUUAACACAUGCAAGUCGAACGGAAAGGCCCUGCUUUUGUGGGGUGCUCGAGUGGCGAACGGGUGAGUAACACGUGAGUAACCUGCCCUUGACUUUGGGAUAACUCCAGGAAACUGGGGCUAAUACCGGAUAGGACCUCCUGCUGCAUGGUGGGGGUUGGAAAGAUUUGGCGGUGGGGGAUGGAAUGGCGGCUUAUCAGCUUGUUGGUGGGGUAGUGGCUUACCAAGGCUUUGACGGGUAGCCGGCUUGCGAGGGUGACCGGCCAAAUUGGGACGGAGAUACAGCACAGGCGCAUACGGGGGGCAGCAGUGGAGAAUAUUGCACAAUGGGCGCAAGCCUGAUGCAGCAACGCCGCGUGCGGGAUGACGGCCUUCGGGUAGUAAACCGCUUUCGCCUGUGACGAAACGUAGGGGACGGUAAUGGGUAAAGAAGCACCGGCUAACUACGU
RNAcentral lists this ribosomal RNA (467 nucleotides) under uncultured bacterium. RNAcentral describes it as "partial 16S ribosomal RNA". It matches the Rfam family "Bacterial small subunit ribosomal RNA", at positions 28 to 506 of the family's 1533-position model. The record is from RNAcentral.